This 262-nucleotide ribosomal RNA is filed under the name uncultured archaeon. Its description in RNAcentral is "partial 16S ribosomal RNA". It matches the Rfam family "Archaeal small subunit ribosomal RNA", at positions 748 to 1008 of the family's 1478-position model. The record is from RNAcentral.
CAGCCGUAAACAAUGUGCGUUAGGUGUGUCGGUAACCACGCGUUACUGAUGCGCCGAAGAGAAAUCGUGAAACGCACCACCUGGGAAGUACGGUCGCAAGGCUGAAACUUAAAGGAAUUGGCGGGGGGAGCACCACAACAGGUGGAGCCUGCGGUUUAAUUGGAUUCAACGCCGGACAUCUCACCGGAUAAGACAGCUGAAUAAUUGUCAAUCUGAAGGUUUUACAUGACUAGCUGAGAGGUGGUGCAUGGCGUCAGUGACU